CGGGCCAUGGGGUAGUGGUAGCCCGAGUCCUUGGGGUGGAUUUAGCGGCGGUUCGAUUCCGCCUGGCCCGA
Molecule: transfer RNA, 71 nt
Filed under: Candidatus Wolfebacteria bacterium
Lineage: Bacteria; Candidatus Wolfeibacteriota
Description: tRNA-Pro
Rfam family: tRNA
About the family: Transfer RNA (tRNA) molecules are approximately 80 nucleotides in length. Their secondary structure includes four short double-helical elements and three loops (D, anti-codon, and T loops). Further hydrogen bonds mediate the characteristic L-shaped molecular structure. tRNAs have two regions of fundamental functional importance: the anti-codon, which is responsible for specific mRNA codon recognition, and the 3' end, to which the tRNAs corresponding amino acid is attached (by aminoacyl-tRNA synthetases). tRNAs cope with the degeneracy of the genetic code in two manners: having more than one tRNA (with a specific anti-codon) for a particular amino acid; and 'wobble' base-pairing, i.e. permitting non-standard base-pairing at the 3rd anti-codon position.
Source: RNAcentral